Molecule: ribosomal RNA, 254 nt
Filed under: uncultured bacterium
Lineage: Bacteria
Description: partial 16S ribosomal RNA
Rfam family: Bacterial small subunit ribosomal RNA
Source: RNAcentral
GACGUAGGGCGCAAGCGUUGUCCGGAUUUAUUGGGCGUAAAGAGCUCGUAGGCGGUUCGGUAAGUCAGGUGUGAAAUCUCCACGCUCAACGUGGAGGCGCCACCUGAAACUGCCGUGACUCGAGUCCGGUAGGGGAGUGUGGAAUUCCCGGUGUAGUGGUGGAAUGCGUAGAUAUCGGGAGGAACACCAGUGGCGAAGGCGGUUACCUGGAGCUUUGCUGACGCUGAUGCGCGAAAGCGUGGGUAGCGAUCCGG